Molecule: long non-coding RNA, 514 nt
Organism: Phaethon lepturus (White-tailed tropicbird)
Lineage: Eukaryota; Metazoa; Chordata; Aves; Phaethontiformes; Phaethontidae
Exons: 4
Source: RefSeq, a predicted model, not a curated record
GAGUUACAUACAUGGAAGCAGUCAGGCUCAGUUUGUUGCAGAAUCACAUAUUAUUCUUCUACUGAAUGCUGCUAUCACCAUGGGAAUGGUACUCCUGAAUGAAGCUGCUACCUCCAAAGGGGAUGUUGGAAAAAGGAGAAUAAUAUGUCUGGUAGGCUUGGGUCUGGUGGUCUUUUUCUUCAGCUUCCUGUUGUCGAUAUUUCGCUCCAAAUACCAUGGCUACCCAUACAGCUUCUUAAUUAAAUGAAUUCAAGAGGGAUUCAUUUAGAGCUGCUUACCAUGAAGAUAAGCUAUAAGUGAUAUUAUCUGCCUAUGUUGUUUCAUGUAUUCAAGAAUCUUUUGUUGGUUCAUCUGUUUUUGUGAUUAUUUAUAUAGUACACUGAUAGAGAAAUGAAUGCAGUUUUAUGCAAUGAAUGUGUAAUUUAUAGAAACACACAGUAAACACCUCACUGGGAAGUGCUAAAAAGUUAAUAUAGCGUGCUCAAGAAUUUAAAUAAAUUUCAUUAUAAUGGGC